RNAcentral lists this ribosomal RNA (470 nucleotides) under uncultured organism. RNAcentral describes it as "partial 16S ribosomal RNA". It matches the Rfam family "Bacterial small subunit ribosomal RNA", at positions 335 to 797 of the family's 1533-position model. The record is from RNAcentral.
ACUCCUGCGGGAGGCAGCAGUGGGGAAUUUUGGACAAUGGGCGAAAGCCUGAUCCAGCCAUGCCGCGUGAGUGAAGAAGGCCUUCGGGUUGUAAAGCUCUUUUGUCAGGGAAGAAACGGUGAAAGCUAAUAUCUUUUGCUAAUGACGGUACCUGACGAAUAAGCACCGGCUAACUACGUGCCAGCAGCCGCGGUAAUACGUAGGGUGCAAGCGUUAAUCGGAAUUACUGGGCGUAAAGCGUGCGCAGGCGGUUUUGUAAGUCUGAUGUGAAAUCCCCGGGCUCAACCUGGGAAUUGCAUUGGAGACUGCAAGGCUAGAAUCUGGCAGAGGGGGGGAGAAUUCCACGUGUAGCAGUGAAAUGCGUAGAUAUGUGGAGGAACACCGAUGGCGAAGGCAGCCCCCUGGGUCAAGAUUGACGCUCAUGCACGAAAGCGUGGGGAGCAAACAGGAUUAGAAACCCUAGUAGUCCC